AGAGUUUGAUCAUGGCUCAGAACAAACGCUGGCGGCGUGCCUAACACAUGCAAGUCGAACGAGAAAUUCUGGCUUCGGCCGGGAGAGUAAAGUGGCGCACGGGUGAGUAACGCGUGGGAACCUACCCUAUAGUACGGAAUAACUCAGGGAAACUUGUGCUAAUACCGUAUACGUCCUUCGGGAGAAAGAUUUAUCGCUAUGGGAUGGGCCCGCGUCAGAUUAGGUAGUUGGUAGGGUAAUGGCCUACCAAGCCGACGAUCUGUAGCUGGUCUGAGAGGAUGAUCAGCCACACUGAGACUGAGACACGGCCCAGACUCCUACGGGAGGCAGCAGUGGGGAAUAUUGGACAAUGGGGGCAACCCUGAUCCAGCCAUGCCGCGUGAGUGAAGAAGGCCUUCGGGUUGUAAAGCUCUUUCGGCGGGGACGAUGAUGACGGUACCCGCAUAAGAAGCCCCGGCUAACUUCGUGCCAGCAGCCGCGGUAAUACGAAGGGGGCUAGCGUUGUUCGGAAUUACUGGGCGUAAAGCGCGCGUAGGCGGUGUUCUUUGUCAGAGGUGAAAUCCCGGGGCUCAACCUCGGAAUUGCCUUUGAAACGGGGACGCUUGAGUCCGAGAGAGGAUGGCGGAAUUCCUAGUGUAGAGGUGAAAUUCGUAGAUAUUAGGAAGAACACCGGUGGCGAAGGCGGCCAUCUGGCUCGGUACUGACGCUCAGGCGCGAAAGCGUGGGGAUCAAACAGGAUUAGAUACCCUAGUAGUCC
Molecule: ribosomal RNA, 757 nt
Filed under: uncultured bacterium
Lineage: Bacteria
Description: bacterial SSU rRNA
Rfam family: Bacterial small subunit ribosomal RNA
Source: RNAcentral